Molecule: microRNA, 22 nt
Filed under: Parasteatoda tepidariorum (common house spider)
Lineage: Eukaryota; Metazoa; Arthropoda; Arachnida; Araneae; Theridiidae
Description: pte-miR-35h-3p
Gene: pte-miR-35h-3p
Source: miRBase by way of RNAcentral
UCACCGGGUGAAAAAUUUGCUU